RNAcentral lists this ribosomal RNA (253 nucleotides) under uncultured bacterium. RNAcentral's name for it is "partial 16S ribosomal RNA". It matches the Rfam family "Bacterial small subunit ribosomal RNA", at positions 524 to 776 of the family's 1533-position model. The record is from RNAcentral.
UACAGAGGGUGCAAGCGUUAAUCGGAUUUACUGGGCGUAAAGCGUGCGUAGGCGGCUCGCUAAGUCGGGUGUGAAAUCCCUGGGCUUAACCUGGGAACUGCAGUCGAUACUGGCGGACUAGAGUACGGUAGAGGGUGGCGGAACUCCGGGUGUAGCGGUGAAAUGCGUAGAGAUCCGGAGGAACACCAGAGGCGAAGGCGGCCUACUGGGCUGCACCUGACGCUGAGGUGCGAAAGCGUGGGGAGCAAACAGG